This 1325-nucleotide ribosomal RNA is filed under the name metagenome. Its description in RNAcentral is "bacterial LSU rRNA". It matches the Rfam family "Bacterial large subunit ribosomal RNA", at positions 1561 to 2925 of the family's 2925-position model. The record is from RNAcentral.
AGUGGAUGGGGAGCAACCUAGUUGUGCGUGUGUAAAGGUAGUGCCAAGAAAAGCGAUGAUCAUGUUGAAAAUCAAUUCCCGGUACCCGAAACCGACACAGGUGGGCAAGUAGAGAAUACUAAGGGGCGCGAGGUAACUCUCUCCAAGGAACUCGGCAAAAUGACCCCGUAACUUAGGGAGAAGGGGUGCCACCGAGAGGUGGUCGCAGUGAAGAGGCCCAGGCGACUGUUUAGCAAAAACAUAGGUCUCUGCAAACUCGAAAGAGGAGGUAUAGGGGCUGACGCCUGCCCAGUGCCGGAAGGUUAAAGAAGUUGGUCAGUUUUAGGAUGAAGCUAGCGACUGAAGCCCCGGUGAACGGCGGCCGUAACUAUAACGGUCCUAAGGUAGCGAAAUUCCUUGUCGGGUAAGUUCCGACCCGCACGAAAGGCGUAACGAUCUGGGCGCUGUCUCGGAGAGAGGCUCGGCGAAAUAGGAUUGUCUGUGAAGAUACGGACUACCUGCAUUUGGACAGAAAGACCCUAUGAAGCUUUACUAUAGCUUGGAAUUGAGUUCGGGCUUCCUGUGCGCAGGAUAGGUGGGAGGCGAAGAAGGUAUUCUUGUGGGGAUACUGGAGCCAACGGUGAGAUACCACUCUCAGGAGGCUAGAAUUCUAACUUAAUUAAGGACAGUUUCAGGUGGGUAGUUUGACUGGGGCGGUCGCCUCCAAAAAGGUAACGGAGGCGUACAAAGGUUCCCUCAGACUGGUUGGAAAUCAGUCGCAGAGUGCAAAGGCAGAAGGGAGCUUGACUGCGAGAAGUACAGUUCGAGCAGGGUGGAAACACGGUCUUAGUGAUCCGACGGUGCUGUGUGGAAGGGCCGUCGCUCAACGGAUAAAAGUUACUCUAGGAUAACAGGCUGAUCUCCCCCAAGAGUUCACAUCGACGGGGAGGUUUGGCACCUCGAUGUCGGCUCAUCGCAACCUGGGGCGGAAGUACGUCCCAAGGGUUGGGCUGUUCGCCCAUUAAAGCGGUACGUGAGCUGGGUUCAGAACGUCGUGAGACAGUUCGGUCCAUAUCCGAUGUAGGCGUGAGAAUAUUGAGAGGAGCCUUCCUUAGUACGAGAGGACCGGGAAGGACGCACCGCUGGUGUACCUGCUAUGAUGCCAAUUGUAAACGCAGGGUAGCCAAGUGCGGAGAGGAUAACCGCUGAAAGCAUCUAAGUGGGAAGCCCACCUCAAGAUGAGUAUUCUGGUGUAAGGUCACGGGAAGACGACCCGUAAAUAGGCACGAGGUGGAAGUGCAGAGAUGUAUGAAGCCGAAGUGUACUAAUAGACCGUCGGCUUGACC